This 253-nucleotide ribosomal RNA is filed under the name uncultured bacterium. RNAcentral's name for it is "partial 16S ribosomal RNA". It matches the Rfam family "Bacterial small subunit ribosomal RNA", at positions 524 to 776 of the family's 1533-position model. The record is from RNAcentral.
UACGUAGGGGGCGUGCGUUGUCCGGAGUUACUGGGCGUAAAGCGCACGCAGGCGGUCUGCUAAGUUUGGAGUGACAGUUGGUGGCUUAACUGCCAAAGUGCUUCGAAAACUGACAGACUUGAGGGCUUCAGAGGGACACGGAAUUCCGGGUGGAGUGGUGAAAUGCGUAGAGAUCCGGAGGAACACCAAAGGCGAAGGCAGUGUCCUGGGGAGUACCUGACGCUCAGGUGCGAAAGCCAGGGGAGCGAACGGG